Molecule: RNA transcript, 4539 nt
Organism: Ochotona curzoniae (black-lipped pika)
Lineage: Eukaryota; Metazoa; Chordata; Mammalia; Lagomorpha; Ochotonidae
Gene: PPP1R15B
Gene name: protein phosphatase 1 regulatory subunit 15B
Exons: 3
Source: RefSeq, a predicted model, not a curated record
GUUUGCAUCUCAUCCGGGACCCCAGCCUAGUCCUCGGUGCGCUGGAUCUGCGGCCAUUUUGAGCGUUGCCGGCCGUCGCUCCGGGCAUUUUUUCCCCAGCCCUUCCGGUGUCGUACUGCUCGGGGAAAGUCGCUGUCGCCGCUGCUGGAGAGGACUGCUGCCUAUGCCGCUGCGGCCUGAGCAGACCUAGACGCCGGCUUCCCGCUAGGAUGGCCGCCUGCUGCGCGGGCCGUUCGAGUCUGUGUUGUAGCGUCCGCGGCCGAAGCCGCCGCCCUCUGUGGCUUCUCUGCCGGCGCGGGGUUCGGCCCGGAGCCCUGACUCGACUGCGGGGUGGGGCCGGAACUGCCUAAGUCUCCUCGCGUCCCGCCGACUUGUUCCUUCGCUGAGAAAACUGCCGAGAAGAUGGAGAUGGAUCCGGGAUCGCACAGCUCGCGGCCUGGGCCUCGGGCCCGCGCCUGGUGCCGGCUGCCCGGCUUCCUGCCUUGGCGGUCGGAAGCAGCCGGGUCCAAGUUCCCCACGGCCGCGCCGCAGAGCUCCGGGGACGCCGCUUUGCCUUCCGACGCCCGGCCCGGCUACUGGUCAAAGCUGCUGGCCCAGCUGUUGGCGCCGCUGCCCGGCUUGCUUCAGAAAGUGCUGCUUUGGAGCCAUCUCUUCGGUGCUCUGCUUCCGACCAGGUGGUUGGGCUUAGCCGGCCGGUACAGCGCCCUGAGAAGCUGGCGGGGGCGAGAGGAGGCAGCCGACCCCUCUGCCGACCCCCCGGACCACUCGGUCCCCAGCACUCUGGGUUGGCUGGAGGAGGAGCUCCACUGGCAGUGCCCGGCCUCUGAUCUGGACUUGGGACUCAAAGCCAAGGGCAGCGGACUGAACCCUGCCGUGCACCCGUUUCUCUUGGAGCAGCUGCUGCCCGGUGCCCUGGAGGCCCGUCUGUUUGCUGACCGGGAGCUGGGUUCUUCGCCCUCCGGGCCUCGGAGCAUUCAGCGCUUGGCCAGUGUCAGUGUAGUCUCCUACAUGCUGAGCCCUUCUUCCUAUCUGGACUGCCUCCCCUGGGUGCAGGUGGGCUGCCGGCGCAGCAGCGGAAGUGGCCAGCGGAUGGACGUCCAGAGCCUGGCCUCCGCGAGCAGCUGCUUUUCGGAGGAGCCAGGCGAGCCCCAGCCGCUGUCUGCAGAGCAGCCCCUAGCCUCGUGGCAGGCGUGUCCACCUCCGUCCCAGGAAGGCCUGCCCGAGAUCCACCAUCUGCGAAUGAAACGGCUGGAAUUCCUCCAACAGGCCGGCAAGGGGCAGGACUUGCCCACCCCGGAGCAGGACCACGGCUACCACAGCCUGGAGGAGGAACACAACCUUCUCCGCCUGGAGCAGCAAGGCUGCGGAGGGGACGCGGCCCAGGGUGUUCCCCCGGCCGGAGGUCUCGUUUCCGGAGCCUCCCCGGAGCCCAGUGAGGACGGCCUAGAACUGUGGACGGAAGAGGGUGCUUUGGGCAGCUGUGCUUCGUGCGAGGUGCCCCUGGGCAGGGAGGCUGGGGAGUCCCCAGAGGAGGAGCUGCCCGCCGCGGCCAGGCCGGCGUGUAGCAACAAACUAAUAGAUUACAUUUUGGGGGGUGCCACCAGUGACCCGGAGAGCAGCUCUGAUUCCGAGGGAGAAGGCUGGGAUGAGGAGGCUGAGGACGACGGCUUCGGCAGUGAUGGCUCCUUGUCCGAGUCAGAGCCCGAAGGGGACCCGGAGGACCUUCCCCUCUGGAACUCCUUCUACAGUGUAGACCCCUACAGCCUCCAGAACUUCACAGCCACGCUGCAGACGGCUGCCAAAAGUGCCCCUGCGGACCCUGCCGCGGCCGUGCCAGACUGGGCUGAGCCUUGUGAGCUGGAGGCUGUGCCCCAGGCUGGGAGCCUCCCCGAGACCCCCGAGCCUAGCUCCGAAUCCGAGGACGGGGAGGAGGAGGAGGAGGAUGAGUGGGACUGCAGUGUGGACGAGGCGGAGAGUCUGCAGCUGUGGGACUCUUUUUGCCAUUCCGACGACCCCUACAACCUGUUCAAUUUUAAGGCUCCCUUCCAAACUGCAGGGAAAAGUGGGCAGGGCUGUUCCGACGCCCGGCAGCCACCGGAGUGCAUUGUGGUCACCUCGGAGAGUCACACCUUGCUUACUUGUAAGGUGCAGCUCUCGGACAGCCGAGAAAGUAGACGCCGGGGCCGGGGCCGGACUCGGUGUGGGGGUCUUUCUGGAGAAAGACGCUCACCAAUCAAAAGAAAGGUGACCUUCCUUGAAGAAGUGACUGAGUAUUACUUAAGCGAUGAUGAAGAUCGCAAAGGACCCUGGGAAGAAUUUGCAAGGGAUAGAUGCAGAUUCCAGAAACGAAUCCGAGAAACAGAAGAUGCUAUUGGCUUUUGCUUGACAUUUGAGCACCGACAAAGAACAUUCGACAGACUGCAGGAAGCAUGCUUGAGAAGACCUAAUGCUCCCGAGCAAAAGUGAGACAGUCUAUCCUCCCGCCUGGUUUCUUUUAAAACAAAUAUUGGCAGCUGUCCGUGACAUUUUUUACAAGAGAAAUGAGUUGGAGCCAAUGAUCAGGUUUAUUAUUACUUUUUGCAGCAUAUCGCAUCAGGCACCCUCAUUUGAAGCCAGCCCUAAUAAUAAAGGAAGUGCCGUUCGUGACCCUCCCUGUCCUGUGCUUGUGUGAGAUGAAAAGGGGACCUUUUUAGUUAUAAUUUUGCACUUUCAGAACUUACUUUCUAGGGAAAUAAUACUUAUAGGGCUUAAAGCCUAUUUUCAGUUCUAAUUUAAAUUAUAUAUACCUGUCUGAAAACUUCAAGCUUGCUUUUGGCUUUUUGUUUAUGUUGUUUUGGGGAUUUUUUUUUCCCCCUCACCAUUCUGGAAUUUUGAACUUUGGAUUUUUAGAAAUUUUAGUGAUUUGAUUUGGCCUAUCUUACGGCUAAAAAAGUGAUCUUGUGUUUAUUGCCAGCUUAAAGAACAUUAUCCUGUGUCACUUUUUUUCCCCCAAACACUGAGUUUGGUAGAAAAUGGGCAGUGGCUGUUGGUUUGUGUGUUGAGCUCUGCUGUGCCCAGGAGUUACCCCAGAACCCACGUGUGCUGGACUCAUGGCUGUGGAAAGCCGUGCCUUUCUGCCGGGUUGUAACAGCUGACAUAUUUUGUUCUGUGCAAACUCAGAGAAGGAUCUGUAUGUUAAGAUAACUCCCAUUGUAUGUUUAGACAGGUAGCAGUUUGUAAAACACCCUACAAUGGAAUAGCUGUGUCAUAGGCAUUCGUUUUUUUAAGUAUGAAAGGAGGAAUGCAGCAGACAUUGCAGCAUAGUUUGGUUGUGUUGUCUUUGCAGAAAUGCAGUGUUACUAUAUCGUUCCUCAGCACUGUCACUUUUAAAGCCUGUCAGGUGACACUGAACUUGGAUGGGCAGUACUGAAUUUUCAGGUUGGAAAUAUAAAAUAGAAACUUCAUUCCAGAUCCAUGUUUAUUGUAUUCUGUGUUAAUGAGAGAAGUCAUGGCAAGGCCUAUACUUGCAAGGAAAGAGUACAACUAGAGAUGUAACAGCUGGAAAGGCCGCCUCAGGCCUCUGCUUGACUUGGCGUGGGCGCCCUGCGCUCUGUCUGUGGUGUGCCUCCGAGGGGUGCAGGGGGUGGGAACGUGCAGUGACGGGGGCUGUUUGUGCCCUGGGCCGCCUCCCAUAGGUAGUGGGGAACAUCAGUAGAGUAGGUGAGCUCUCCUUGUGAAUGCAUUGCAGUGUGGGGCAGAAGUUUUCAUCUGUGCUUGCCAGGUUACUACCUCAAGUCUUCAGCUACCUGGCCUGCAGUGCUAGUGUUUGGAAUCUCUUGGGCACACACUGUGAGUGCGAGGCCAGCAAGGUCAGCAAAGUCUUGGCAGCGCCCUUUUGAGCCCCGAGGCCCUUUAGGGGCACACUUAGGAAGCCUAUGGCCCUUGGAAGGCAUCCCCGUGGCAGUGGUGAGCAUUCCUCUAAAACCAGACUGAAGCGUGGGUUAGGUUUUGUGUUAGGAAUCUGGCCCUUCUGUCCCAAGUACUGGGUUAUCUUCACUUGGGACGAGAGCCUCACAGCCCCUGGAGCAAAAGCUGUGUUAGGAAUUCUCACAUAUGCCACACGCCUGUAGAGUGAUCGGAAAGACCAUGUUAAAACUAUCCUGAAGGAGAAAAACUUGUCUAUUUCAUCCCAGUUCUUGCUUUCCUAAGAAUGCUAGAAAGAAAUGCCUUGGAGGUCCUGGUUGGACAUGUACACAUUUCAAAUCUUGUAAUGGUGCUAUGCGUGUAAAUGUAGCAUGGGAAAGGUUUUGUCCAGACAGGUCAGCUGUCCAGUUCUGAAUGGUGAGAUGUGAAGACACCUCUUCAUCUGUAACUUGAAACUUUCAUCAGGUUUUAUUUUUUAUAAUUUAAGGAAGGUGAAGUUAGGGAACAAGAGGACUUCUGAGUUGGCUUCUUCAGAUCCAGUGUAAAAUGUAAAUAGUUGAGGAUUUUAUAGCUAAAAUUCUAUUUGUGUAUAUAACAGCUAAUCUGUACAUUAUAAUAAAUAUAUUUGCAAUUAAA